Molecule: ribosomal RNA, 325 nt
Filed under: uncultured eukaryote
Lineage: Eukaryota
Description: partial 18S ribosomal RNA
Rfam family: Eukaryotic small subunit ribosomal RNA
Source: RNAcentral
CCCUUAGAUGUUCUGGGCCGCACGCGCGCUACACUGACGAAUGCAACGAGCUUAUAACCUUGGCCGAAAGGUCUGGGUAAUCUCCAAAUUUCGUCGUGAUGGGGAUAGAUUAUUGCAAUUAUUAAUCUUCAACGAGGAAUGCCUAGUAAGCGCAAGUCAUCAGCUUGCGUUGAUUACGUCCCUGCCCUUUGUACACACCGCCCGUCGCUCCUACCGAUUGAACGUUUUAGUGAGGUCCUCGGACUGUUUGCCUGGCGGUUUACCCUGCUUGGCUGGCGGGAAGACGACCAAACUUGAGCGUUUAGAGGAAGUAAAAGUCGUAACA